Molecule: non-coding RNA, 139 nt
Organism: Caenorhabditis elegans
Lineage: Eukaryota; Metazoa; Nematoda; Chromadorea; Rhabditida; Rhabditidae
Source: Ensembl
AUGAAACACCAAUUUUUGGAGACAAGUGCAAAUAGGGGUGCCGAACGGUUAACGCUGUCUCUCUUGACUUGCGCACGCUUCAUUCUUUUCGUUUCCAGUUGAUACCGUUGCCCCCAAAACACAAACAGAACAAUAUCGA